Myotis brandtii (Brandt's bat) is the source of this 75-nucleotide non-coding RNA. The record is from Rfam. Lineage: Eukaryota; Metazoa; Chordata; Mammalia; Chiroptera; Vespertilionidae.
GGUGGUUCUCGGCUGACACACCCUGGAAUCGGGCUCCUUCCUCUCUGGUUCCAGGUGCAUCACCUGAGAACCACA